RNAcentral lists this ribosomal RNA (118 nucleotides) under Octodon degus (degu). The record is from RNAcentral. Lineage: Eukaryota; Metazoa; Chordata; Mammalia; Rodentia; Octodontidae.
UUUCCCAAUUAUACCACCUUGAAUGUGUCUAAUCUUAUCUGAUCUCAGAAGCUGAGCAAAGCUGGUUUGCAUAGUAGUUGGAUGGGAAACCAACACAUUGCUCUAUAAACUGAUAACA